AUUGAACGCUGGCGGCAGGCCCAACACAUGCAAGUCGAACGGUAGCACAGAGAGCUUGCUCUCGGGUGACGAGUGGCGGACGGGUGAGUAAUGUCUGGGAAACUGCCCGAUGGAGGGGGAUAACUACUGGAAACGGUAACUAAUACCGCAUAACGUCGCAAGACCAAAGUGGGGGACCUUCGGGCCUCACACCAUCGGAUGUGCCCAGAUGGGAUUAGCUAGUAGGUGGGGUAAUGGCUCACCUAGGCGACGAUCCCUAGCUGGUCUGAGAGGAUGACCAGCCAAACUGGAACUGAGACACGGUCCAGACUCCUACGGGAGGCAGCAGUGGGGAAUAUUGCACAAUGGGCGCAAGCCUGAUGCAGCCAUGCCGCGUGUAUGAAGAAGGCCUUCGGGUUGUAAAGUACUUUCAGCGGGGAGGAAGGCGGUGAAGUUAAUAACUUCACCGAUUGACGUUACCCGCAGAAGAAGCACCGGCUAACUCCGUGCCAGCAGCCGCGGUAA
This 504-nucleotide ribosomal RNA is filed under the name uncultured bacterium. RNAcentral's name for it is "partial 16S ribosomal RNA". It matches the Rfam family "Bacterial small subunit ribosomal RNA", at positions 30 to 523 of the family's 1533-position model. The record is from RNAcentral.